AAUUAUCAAAACCUUUUCUUUGAUCCUUUUCGGUCAGGAAAAGGAUUUUUGGACUUGGAGGUUCCAUGCUUGCUUUUGCUCAUGAAAGCGAGCUCCUCUCAAAUGAAUUAGUGGGGUCCGCUUUGCUGAUCCUUGAUGUGAUAAAGAUGUUUCUACAUUUUGGAUUUAGCACUGUCCCUUGGACACCUGCUCCUAACUGUCUCUUGGACAAUGAUGGUGCUUCGGUCCCCGCCAUCUACAUUGGCGGAAGGCUGGACCCAUCAAA
Molecule: unclassified non-coding RNA, 265 nt
Filed under: uncultured Russula
Lineage: Eukaryota; Fungi; Basidiomycota; Agaricomycetes; Russulales; Russulaceae
Description: sequence contains ITS2
Source: RNAcentral